UACGGGGGGGGCAAGCGUUGUUCGGAAUUACUGGGCGUAAAGGGUUCGUAGGUGGCCAACUAAGUCAGACGUGAAAUCCCUCAGCUUAACUGGGGAACUGCGUCUGAGACUGGAUGGCUUGAGUGCAGGAGAGGAACGCGGAAUUCCUGGUGUAGCGGUGAAAUGCGCAGAUAUCAGGAGGAACACCGGUGGCGAAGGCGGGUCUCUGGGCCGAUACUGACGCUGAGGAGCGAAAGCGUGGGGAGCGAACAGG
This 253-nucleotide ribosomal RNA is filed under the name uncultured bacterium. RNAcentral's name for it is "partial 16S ribosomal RNA". It matches the Rfam family "Bacterial small subunit ribosomal RNA", at positions 524 to 776 of the family's 1533-position model. The record is from RNAcentral.